RNAcentral lists this ribosomal RNA (500 nucleotides) under uncultured bacterium. RNAcentral describes it as "partial 16S ribosomal RNA". It matches the Rfam family "Bacterial small subunit ribosomal RNA", at positions 30 to 523 of the family's 1533-position model. The record is from RNAcentral.
AUUGAACGCUGGCGGAAUGCUUUACACAUGCAAGUCGAACGGCAGCACGGACUUCGGUCUGGUGGCGAGUGGCGAACGGGUGAGUAAUGUACCGGUACGUGCCCAGUCGUGGGGGAUAACGUAGUGAAAAUUACGCUAAUACCGCAUACGAUCUAUGGAUGAAAGCGGGGGAUCGCAAGACCUCGCGCGAUUGGAGCGGCCGAUAUCAGAUUAGGUAGUUGGUGGGGUAAAGGCCCACCAAGCCAACGAUCUGUAGCUGGUCUGAGAGGACGAACAGCCACACUGGAACUGAGACACGGUCCAGACUCCUACGGGAGGCAGCAGUGGGGAAUUUUGGACAAUGGGCGAAAGCCUGAUCCAGCCAUUCCGCGUGCAGGACGAAGGCCCUCGGGUUGUAAACUGCUUUUGUACAGAACGAAAAGGUUUCUACUAAUACUAGGAGCUCAUGACGGUACUGUAAGAAUAAGCACCGGCUAACUACGUGCCAGCCGCCGCAGUAA